This is a long non-coding RNA of Telopea speciosissima, 204 nucleotides long. RefSeq lists it as uncharacterized. NCBI's taxonomy places the organism in Eukaryota, Viridiplantae, Streptophyta, Magnoliopsida, Proteales, Proteaceae. The transcript has 3 exons. The record is from RefSeq and is a predicted model, not a curated record.
UACACCACAGGGAAGAAAUAAUUACAAAACUUCUUCUUAGAUUGCAGAUAAAAGCAAGAUUGUCACUUGAACCUAUACUCAGGUUGAUUGCAGCCUUGUCCAGAGAUCUCCUGGACUACUUCUGUCUCUUUCUGCCGAGGAUUACUGAAGAUUUAGUGACUGCUCAAAACUGGUGCUGAAAAGGAACCAGAUAUACUUGAGCAG